GGCCUAACACAUGCAAGUCGAACGGUAACAUGAGAGCUUGCUCUUGAUGACGAGUGGCGCACGGGUGCGUAACGCGUAUACAAUCUACCUUUUACUGGGAGAUAGCCUUUAGAAAUGAAGAUUAAUAUCCCAUAGUAUAAUGAUAUGGCAUCAUAUUAUUAUUAAAGUUUCGGCGGUAAAAGAUGAGUAUGCGUUCUAUUAGCUAGAUGGUGUGGUAACGGCACACCAUGGCAACGAUAGAUAGGGGCCCUGAGAGGGGGAUCCCCCACACUGGUACUGAGACACGGACCAGACUCCUACGGGAGGCAGCAGUGAGGAAUAUUGGACAAUGGGCGCAAGCCUGAUCCAGCCAUGCCGCGUGCAGGAAGACGGCCCUAUGGGUUGUAAACUGCUUUUAUACAGGAAGAAACACUCCCUCGUGAGGGAGCUUGACGGUACUGUAAGAAUAAGGACCGGCUAACUCCGUGCCAGCAGCCGCGGUAAUACGGAGGGUCCGAGCGUUAUCCGGAAUCAUUGGGUUUAAAGGGUCCGUAGGUGGAUAAUUAAGUCAGAGGUGAAAUCCUGCAGCUCAACUGUAGAAUUGCCUUUGAAACUGGUUAUCUUGAGUUAUUAUGAAGUAGUUAGAAUAUGUAGUGUAGCGGUGAAAUGCAUAGAUAUUACAUAGAAUACCAAUUGCGAAGGCAGAUUACUAAUAAUCAACUGACACUGAUGGACGAAAGCGUGGGGAGCGAACAGGAUUAGAUACCCUGGUAGUCCACGCCGUAAACGAUGGUUACUAGCUGUUCGGACUUCGGUCUGAGUGGCUAAGCGAAAGUGAUAAGUAACCC
Molecule: ribosomal RNA, 827 nt
Filed under: uncultured Psychroserpens sp.
Lineage: Bacteria; Pseudomonadati; Bacteroidota; Flavobacteriia; Flavobacteriales; Flavobacteriaceae
Description: bacterial SSU rRNA
Rfam family: Bacterial small subunit ribosomal RNA
Source: RNAcentral